Molecule: long non-coding RNA, 308 nt
Filed under: Homo sapiens (human)
Lineage: Eukaryota; Metazoa; Chordata; Mammalia; Primates; Hominidae
Description: HSALNT0303121
Source: RNAcentral
AUCUAUGCCUUGAUAGGUCUUCAGUUACUCAUGGUGAAACAUAUAGAGGGAGCCCAAGCCAAGAAGAGAGGUCUGGUAUCAAAGAUUUGCUGAAUUCACAAUUGAAGAGGCUUAUGUCAGUCCCUUAGAAAGAAUUUGAGGACUCCUCGGAAAAUUGCUGAGUUGAGUAAAUAUUUCCUUCCAUAAAGGUAAAUAAGCAUCUCAAGAGCAAGUUUCUACAUUUUGUAUUUCCCUGUUUUAUUUCUGUAAAAUUGUGCAACCAAGAAUUAUGACCUACUGAUAUUAGAAUAAAAUUUGCAGAAGUUUGA